RNAcentral lists this ribosomal RNA (460 nucleotides) under uncultured bacterium. Its description in RNAcentral is "partial 16S ribosomal RNA". It matches the Rfam family "Bacterial small subunit ribosomal RNA", at positions 338 to 795 of the family's 1533-position model. The record is from RNAcentral.
CCUACGGGCGGCAGCAGUGAGGAAUAUUGGUCAAUGGACGAGAGUCUGAACCAGCCAAGUAGCGUGAAGGAUGACUGCCCUAUGGGUUGUAAACUUCUUUUAUAUGGGAAUAAAACGUUCCACGUGUGGGAUUUUGUAUGUACCAUAUGAAUAAGGAUCGGCUAACUCCGUGCCAGCAGCCGCGGUAAUACGGAGGAUCCGAGCGUUAUCCGGAUUUAUUGGGUUUAAAGGGAGCGUAGGUGGAUUGUUAAGUCAGUUGUGAAAGUUUGGGGCUCAACCGUAAAAUUGCAGUUGAAACUGGCAGUCUUGAGUACAGUAGAGGUGGGCGGAAUUCGUGGUGUAGCGGUGAAAUGCUUAGAUAUCACGAAGAACUCCGAUUGCGAAGGCAGUUCACUGGACUGCAACUGACACUGAGGCUCGAAAGUGUGGGUAUCAAACAGGAUUAGAUACCCCAGUAGUC